Hipposideros armiger (great roundleaf bat) is the source of this 328-nucleotide long non-coding RNA. RefSeq lists it as uncharacterized. Lineage: Eukaryota; Metazoa; Chordata; Mammalia; Chiroptera; Hipposideridae. The transcript is spliced from 3 exons. The record is from RefSeq and is a predicted model, not a curated record.
CCCCAGGAGUGCAGCUUUUGUACCAGAGGAUGGAAACCUUCUAGCUGCUCUGUGACUCACGGUCGUCUAGAGUGGGCUGAGACAUGGCAGCAGAUUGUCACUCACUUAAGGACAGAGAAACCUCAGGACUCAAGGGGGCCACAGCCCUGAUUUGAGGAGCCAGACUCAUCUUGACCUAACAGCUGCUCAGCGGGUUCGUUCCAUCAUAGCCCGGAUUGGUGAACCUGAGUCAGAAGAGGUAUCUCCAGGUUUGCUGGCAUGGGAAACCUGCUGAAAGUCCUUACCAGGGAAAUUGAAAACUAUCCACAUUUUUUUCUGGAUUUUGAAA